AAAUCGAUUAUAAAAAAUAGUUGGCAAUGAUUUCAUCAUCGAUUAGUUGGAUCUAUGUUAUGAUGCACAACCCACACUGUGGCAACGUCUCCUUAGGUGUGGACAUAAACCAACCAAUGCUACGCCUUGUGUAGCUCAUGUGAUAAAUUACAGGAAAUGACAUUGUCACCUUUGUCUCUGGAGUAAGCAUUUGAAAACCGCGGAGGCAUAGACUAACACUUCCUCUUAACUGGAAAAGCAAACAUCAGAUUGUAUACAUUUUUUCAAAUGAAGAUGUCCUAACCUGCUCUGUGCGUCAGCGAACAGGUAAAGGGACGUGUCGCUUGCUUGAAAAAACGCUCGCCCUGGCUUUAUUUUAGCCAAGUUUCAUGCACCUCCAACCUAUUUUCAUUCAUCAAAAUUGACGCUGACAGUAACUGACAUUAACAUCAGCAACAACAA
Sebastes umbrosus (honeycomb rockfish) is the source of this 441-nucleotide long non-coding RNA. RefSeq lists it as uncharacterized. Lineage: Eukaryota; Metazoa; Chordata; Actinopteri; Perciformes; Sebastidae. The record is from RefSeq and is a predicted model, not a curated record. The transcript has 3 exons.